GUGCUUGCUUUGGCAGCACAUAUGCUAACACUGGAAUGAUACAGAGAGGAUUACCAUGGCCACUGUGCAAGGAUGACACGCAAAUUCGUAAAGUGUUUCUUAUCAGU
This is a small nuclear RNA of Heterocephalus glaber (naked mole-rat), 107 nucleotides long. NCBI's taxonomy places the organism in Eukaryota, Metazoa, Chordata, Mammalia, Rodentia, Bathyergidae. The record is from Ensembl.